GACGAACGCUGGCGGCGUGCUUAACACAUGCAAGUCGAACGGAACUCUUUGGAUCGAGACUUCGGUCAAGUGAAUCUGAGUUUAGUGGCGGACGGGUGAGUAACGCGUGAGGAACCUGCCUUUCAGAGGGGGACAACAGUUGGAAACGACUGCUAAUACCGCAUAACGCAUAGAGAUCGCAUGGUCUAUAUGCCAAAGAUUUAUCGCUGAAAGAUGGCCUCGCGUCUGAUUAGCUAGAUGGCGGGGUAACGGCCCACCAUGGCGACGAUCAGUAGCCGGUCUGAGAGGAUGAACGGCCACAUUGGGACUGAGAUACGGCCCAGACUCCUACGGGAGGCAGCAGUGGGGAAUAUUGCACAAUGGGCGAAAGCCUGAUGCAGCGACGCCGCGUGAGUGAUGAAGUAUUUCGGUAUGUAAAGCUCUAUCAGCAAGGAAGAUAAUGACGGUACUUGACUAAGAAGCCCCGGCU
This 469-nucleotide ribosomal RNA is filed under the name uncultured bacterium. Its description in RNAcentral is "bacterial SSU rRNA". It matches the Rfam family "Bacterial small subunit ribosomal RNA", at positions 28 to 498 of the family's 1533-position model. The record is from RNAcentral.